CUUUCGAGCUCCUCCGCCUCAACAACCCUAACAUCCACCAGGCCCUUGUGUCCAUCUCCAACAAUUCCUCCGUCCGUGCCCUUAUCGUUGAUUGCUUCUGUACAGCGGCGCUUUCUGUGGCUGCUCAACUCAACAUUCCAUUCUACUAUUUCUUCACUUCUGGCGCCUGCUGCCUCGCUUCCUUCCUUUACCUCCCUUUCAUUCACCAGCAGACUACCAAAAGCUUUAAAGACCUCAACACCCAUCUCCAUAUUCCGGGUUUACCGCCGGUACCGGCCUCUGACAUGGCGAAGCCGAUACUUGACAGGGAGGAUAAGGCUUAUGAGUUAUUCGUAAACAUGUCCAUACACUUGCCAAGAUCAGCUGGAAUCAUUGUGAACACCUUUGAAGCGCUGGAACCAAGAGCUGUCAAAACGAUUUUGGAUGGGCUCUGCGUCCUUGACGGUCCAACCUCACCAAUAUUCUGCAUAGGACCAUUAAUUGCAGCUGAUGAUCGAUCCGGUGGUGGUGGUGGUGGAGGGGGAGGUAGCGGCAUUCCUGAGUGUUUGACAUGGCUCGAAUCUCAACCAAAACGCAGCGUUUUGUUUUUGUGUUUUGGGAGCUUGGGUUUGUUCUCAGAAGAACAGUUGAAGGAGAUAGCGGUUGGGUUAGAGAGGAGUGGGCAGAGGUUCUUGUGGGUAGUGCGGAGCCCACCCUCCAAGGACCCGAGCAGGCGUUUUUUAGCACCACCGGAACCGGAUUUGAAUUCCCUUCUCCCAGAUGGGUUUUUGGAUCGAACCAAGGAGAGGGGCCUAAUGGUGAAGUCGUGGGCUCCUCAGGUGGCCGUCUUGAAUCACGCCUCUGUUGGAGGGUUUGUGACUCACUGUGGGUGGAACUCAGUGCUUGAAGCAGUGUGUGCAGGCGUGCCAAUGGUGGCAUGGCCACUAUAUGCCGAGCAAAGGUUUAACAGGGUGGUGCUGGUGGAGGAAAUGAAGCUAGCCUUUCCAAUGGAAGAGUCGGAAGAAGGGUUUGUUACUGCAACUGAGGUUGAGAAGCGAGUUAGAGAGUUGAUGGAGUCGGAGGAAGGAAACACCCUUCGUCUCCGGAUCAUGGCCAUGAAAGAAGCUGCUGAGACUGCAAUGAGCGACGGUGGAUCAUCCCGCACCGCAUUAACAAAACUGGUCAAGUCAUGGAGGCCAGGAUGAGAGAAAGAGAAGGCUGUUCGUCUUAGCUUUCAAUUUCUUCCAAAUCCCGAUUAUUCGGUACCACUUCAACCUAGCAAUUGUUUCAUUAGCAAAAUUUUGCAUUUCUUUUAGCAGUUCAAUUUUAUUGUGUUCUUGGGUAUUAAGUUUGUUAACCUAAUAGAAAAUAAAUAAAUAAAAAAAGACAAAUGAUUAAUAUCCCAUGAAGUGCACCAACAUUAAUAAUCUAAUAAUCAAAAUGAAUGAAAGGAAUUAUAGUGGUGAAGUUCUAAUAAAAAAACUCUUUCAAUUGAGGCUGCAUUUUAUAAAAAUAAAAAAUAAAACUUUAAACAUAAAAGGAUUAUAUAUAAUAGGGUAAAUUCAUCAAUUAUCACAUAAAAAAAUUAAAAAAAAAAAAUUGAAAAAGUGCUACCCCUUCCACCUUUACAAAUUGACCGGACAACUCAAUUCAUAUAAGCUUAUGGGGAACUCAACCCUUGCGAGCUGGUCGAACAACUUGAUCCUUGCGAGCUAUCCGAGCAGCUUGAUCCUUGGCAUUUGAACAAAAUACGAUAAUAUUGAUUCAAACUUCAUAAUCUAACAAGGUUUAAUUCCUUUCUUAACUAUUUCAUUUUUAUCACAAAUUUGGAUGAAUUUAAUUAUUCAAUACAAACACCUUUGGACCAUUUCUUGCAGUUUUCAAUGAUAAUCCAUAAAAACUUAGAUAUCAUGCUUGUAAAGUCAUGAACACGGAAGCAAAAAUAUCAUCUAUUAUUAGCAGAUAAAGUCCUAGGAGGGCCACACAUUCUUGAAAUCCAUACGUUUUUCCAAUGGAUACACCCUUCAGUGUACAGAUUUUUUUUUUGCAUGCGUGAAUAAAUGACAAUCCCGUUGUCACUUUGUUUUGAUCUAACAAUUUCAAAAUAUAUAUAUGUUCCUUUCUUUUACAUGUCAUUUUCCUUCUACCUUCUAAAAGUUGUCUUCUAGAGUCUCACUUAAAGUUGUUUUGGACUCUAUCGUGUGAUUGUUACAGCCAAUAUCUAGACAUUGAACAUCUUGUGAUUGAUUCUUCUCAAGUAUUCAUAUAAUAAAUACAAUUAGAAAUAUUAAUUCCCCCCUUUUCCAAUGUUGGGAUGGUACUCAUCUUUCACACCAUUAUUAGAACUGUCCCACCUUGAAGGUUUAUUAAAAAUAAAGCUUCCUAUUUGUGAUUAUCUUUAUUGAAAAUAUUAGAGUGACACCCCUAACCCAAGUAAUUAAGGCUAAGGGGACAAUGGUCAUUUCAUAGAUGGGCCCAAAGGUCUAACAUGUGAAUAAUGUCAGAAAUGUGAUAUAGUCAUUCAUUAAUGUUGGCCGGUUGCUUGUAACAUAUCAAAAUAGUAAUCAAAGAUUAUUAAAUCAACUUUGAAAAUGAAACAAAGUCCCACAUGCACGAGUAUUUAAAACAUUUUUCAAUUAGAUUUAAUUGAAAUAAAGUAAACUAACUAGCUAGUGGUAAAUAAUGGAGCAAAUUUUUUUUUUUGGUUUUUGCCUAUGAUGAGACGAGUUUGGAAGAAGUAUAAGUAGGUUAAGGAUGUGUUUGAGAUUUUUUUGAAACUUAAGACGGGUUGGACUAUUGCUUUGUCCCUCGCCACCAUAUCCCGAUUAUAUAUAGUUAUAAAAAUAAUUUAAUUUAAUUUAUUUUUUCAUUUUCCCCUUUUGUAACACAUAAAAUUUGCCAUAUUUUUUUGUUAAAAUUAAAAAAAAAAUUAUUUAUAAUUUUUUUUUAUAUAAUUAAAGUUUUUCAAAAAAUUAAAUUUUAAAAAUAAUAUAUAUAUAUAUAUAUAUAUAUAUAUGUGGUUUGAAAUUUCAUUGACUAUUUCCCUUAUUCCGAAUAAGAAAAAAGUGACUAAAAUUAAUAAAUGAAAAUAAUAUAAAAGAUAUUUAAUGAAAUUUCAAAUUUAUAAGAAUUACAUAUAUUUAAUCAAAAUUUCAAAGGAGAUGAAUAAAAUUAACUCAAUUAGAAAUCAAUUACUUAUAUCUAUUUACUUUAUUAUCUAAUUCAUUAAUCACCACUUAUGAAUAUAAUCAUCACUUAUAAUUACCAAAAUAUUAUGGUACUUAACUUCAUACCAAGGCCCAACAAAGUAAGGGGAACAUAAGUACCUAUAAUCCCUUAUGAAUUUCUAAUAGUAUAUAUUCUAGAGGUCCAAAAUUCCAACCAAAUUUAAUAGCAUUCAAUUUCCAUCUUAGAUUUUGGCAAGGCUUACAUCAAGAUUAAAACCAACAUCCAAUAUUUUUGAAUCAUGCAUUUUUUUAAAAAGAUUUAAGGCGUAUUUUUUAUCAUAAUUUUAGAAAGUAUUUCUAACAUUUUUAAUACUUAAAAAAUAAAAUUUUAUUUUCUAAAAUCACUAUCAAAUACACUUUUAAUUUAUGUUAUCACACAUAUCUCGGGUUAGGAUAGUAAUAAGCCCUGAUUUCAAAUUACCUCUUCGAGGGGCAUGGUUAUUUUUCAUUUUUCCAACUUUACCAUAUGACCAUACUAGUGUUUGAACCUCCUCUUCCACCAAAAAUUUAUUAGGGUAGUUGCCUUGUUCCUAUCGCUGCUUUAUAUUUUCGUCCUUUUAUGAUAGGUUUAACCUCCUCAAAAGUUUGUUCAAUCAUUUUCACAUGCUUCAAGCUAUCAAGCACUUGCGUUUUGUAUGGCAGCAGAAACAUGUUCACGUUUUGCAGGCAAAGUUCUUAAAACUUGCUUAUCAACAGUUUCUCUUCUUGAAUUGUGUGUCCACAACUUCAUAUUAACAAAAUCUCCAUAAAUUUUGAAGUUCUAUUGAAAUUAUUUUAUCACUUCUCAUGGGAUUCUUAAUUUUUAUAAUACUUGCUAUGCAACUUUAGCUUUCUAAUCCCCAAAAAAUUCUAGGAAGACUAACUUAAUUUGCUUAGCCUGUUGAAUAUAUAUACAAGUAUAAAGAGACAUAACAAGAGCAACUUUGCUUAUGCUUUGUUAAACAUAUAAUAAGCGUAAUAAAGAGAGACAAGAUUUUCUUGAGCAAGAAUCACAAGGCUUGCAAUGAAGAAGUCCAUCUUUUGACACUUGGUUUUCACAAGAUACCAAUGGGCCUUUGGUGUACACUUAAGGUGUCUCUCAACGACUCACGAUUACUUACUACUUACAGUUGGCCUAUAAUAAAUAUAUUUUCGAAAAGAGUAGAUAUAGAUUUAAUGAACAUUAGAUGAUAUUAAAAACUUGUGGAAUAAUAUUUCCAUGUGAUUAUCAAGUGUUAGGUACAUGAUAAAUAAGUUUUAAGAAGCCUGUUUUGGCAUUAAUCUUAUUAAUUUAAGAACUUAUUUGACAGUAAUUUUAAAAAAUAUUUUUUAACAUUUUUAACAAUUAAAUUUUUUUAAUAAUUCAAGUAUUAGAAAUGCUAAAAAUUAUUUUCUAAAUUUACUAUCAAAUGUGCUCUACAUUUGUUAUUAUGAUUAAGUACUAGUGGUUGUAAGUACAUAGUUAACUAUCCAUAUGUUAGUCCGAUCUACACUAAUUAAAGAGAAUCUAUAUGUUUUUUGAUUUGAAAGUUUAAAAUAAAAUAGAAAAUAAGAAUAAUUUAAUUAAAUUUUUAUUCACUUUCAAGAAAAAAAAAUAGUAUUUAUAUAUGUGAUUAAAAGGUAAUACUCUAAUAUUACUUUUGACUUAAAAAUGUAUUAAAUAAAAAAUAUUUUUAAUCGAAUGAUAUGAAUCGAGAUAUAGAAAAAUGAGUUCUCAUUCUACUUAUAUUUCUAAAUAAGACCAUGAAAACAUAUUUUUUCUAUCUUAAAUAGAAAAUAAGCGAAUUAUAAUUUUAAUAAACCAAUCUUUCUUUUAGGGUUCUAGGAUAUUUUGACGUAUGAUUAGGGAGAUAUUUUGUGUUUAAAUUAGGGGAGUUUAAACCAUGUUUUUAAAGUAAGGUUUUACUUUAAAAACAAAACAAAAAUCCCCCCCAAAAAAAAAUCAUGUUUGUCCAUCAAACAUUAUAUAUGAUUUUUAAUUUUUCUUUAAAAAACAUCUUUUAAAUUAUAAAUACUAUUAAAAAGACUCUAAAUUACGUGAGAUAUAGGCCAUUUGAAAGCGACAAGAAAAAAAAAACAAAAAACAAAAAACAAAAACCAAAUAAUAAUAAUGUUUGUCCAUAAAACAUUAUAUACGAUUUUUCGCCUUUUUAAGAAUAUUCUCUACAUUUUAUCAAAUGUUUAUUUAAUUUUUUUUAUAAAAAAUAUCUUUUAAAGUAGAUUUUCUUUUUUUUUUUAAAAAAAAAAAAACUAUUAAAAAGACUUUAAGUUGCAUCAGACGUUUAAAAUGAAGUUAGGUUGUUUGAAAGAGAAAAAUAAAACAAAAAAUCAAAAAGCAAAAGACAAAAAAUAAUAAUAAUAAUAAUGUUUGCCCAUAAAACAUUAUCUAUGAUUUUUCGAUUUUUUAAGAAUGUUCUUUACAUUUUAUCAAAUGUCUAAUUUUUAUUUUUUUAAAUUAGAAAUACUUUUAAAAAAAACACAGUUAAAAAUCUUCUAAAUUGUGUUAGACAUUUGAAACAAAGGCAGACAGUUUGAAAAAGACAAAGAAACAAAACAAAAACCGUGUUUGUGCAUAAAACAUUAUAUAUAAUUUUUCAAUUUUUUUAGAAUGUUCUCUACAUUUUAUCAAAUGUUUUUUUUUAAACAUCUUUUAAAUUAGAAAUACUUUAAAAAAAAAAAUACUAUUAAGAAGACUUUAAGUUGCUUUAGAAAUUUAAAAUGAAGAUAGGUUGUUUGAAAGAGAGAAAAAAAACAAAACAAAACAAAAAGCAAUAAUAAUAAUAAUAAUAAUAAUAAUAAUAAUGUUUGCCCAUAAAACAAUAUAUAUGAUUUUUCAAAUUUUUAAGAAUGUUUUCUACAUUUCGUCAAAUGUCUAAUUUUUUUUUUAUAAAAAAAACGUAUUUUAAAUUACAAAUACUUUAAAAAAAAUACUAUUAAAAAGAGUUUAAAUUGUGUUAGACAUUUGGAACAAAGGCACACCGGUUGAAAGAGACAACAAAACAAAACAUAAGACUAUGUUUGGUUCCCGGAAAGUACAAAGGAAAGAAAAAAAAUGCUAAGGAAAAUGAUUUUCUCAUGUUUGGUUGUCCUAUGAAAAAUAUCAAAGAAAAUCAAAUAUAAUUAAAACUAAUUAAAAACUUAUAUAUUUUUAAAUUAUUUAAUCUUUAUAUUGAUGAGUUAAAAUAAAUAAAAUGAGUUUGAAGUAACAAAAAAAAUAAUUUAUCAACUUUUAAUAUAUUUUUUUUAUUUUUCUUCACUUUUUCUUUCCUUCUACUUUUCCUUUGUAUUUUCUUUCCCUCGUAUUUUCCCUCAAAUUUUCCGGGAACCAAACAUAGCCUAAAGAAAACAAAAAUGAUGUUUGUCCAUAAAACAUUAUAUAUGAUUUUAAAAUCUUUUAAAAAUGUUCUCAACGUUUUAUCAAAUGUGUAUUUUCUUUUUUAAAAAACAUCUUUUAAAUUAGAAAUGCAUUUAAAAAAAAAAACUAUUAAAAAGACUUUAAGUUGCAUUGUACAUUUGAAAUGAAGGUAGGUUGUUUGAAAGAGAAAAAAACCAAGAAAGAAAAAAAAACCAAAAGAAAAAACAAAAAGCAAAAAAUAAAAAAAAAUAAAAUGUGUUUGUACAUAAAACAUUAUAUAUUAUUUUUCAAUUUUUAAGAAUGUUUUCUACAUUUGAUAAAAUGUCAACUUUUUUUUAAAUAUGUUUUAAAUUAUAAAUACUUUUAAAAAAAAUUAUUAAAAAGGCCCUAAGAAUGUGUUUAAAUAAUGUUUUUUGUGAAGUGUUUUUAAUAAAAAUAUAUUUUUUCAAGAACCAUUAUAAAUGGUUUUCCAACUUGUAAAAAGUGUUUUCUAAAUAUUUCAACUAAAACAUUUUUUUAAAACAUAGAAAAACGACCUCUCAAAAUUCCUUCGUAAUUAUUGGAAGAAGCCUAUAGGAUCCGAAAUUGUCCAUGUCGUCCUCCAUUUUGCUUGGGUUGCACAUGGUUUGCUCUGCAUCUUUUCUUAUGCAUUCCAAGCAUCCAUCGAUUGACCAUUAGAUGGGAAAUAAUUGAAGUCUAAAACUACCCGUCUUCCUUUUCCACCAUCCUCUCUCAAACCUGUCCUACCAUUCUCUUUCACAGUGGUGCUAACAGUUGAAAUCUCAACCUUAAAUCAUUAUAUAUUUUUUGAUGAUUGACUUCUCCCCCUUGUCCUUUUGCUUUCUGCACUAUUUAACAAUGAAGAGACUGAUCCUUAAACAGUUAAACCUCUCUCCCUCUCAGUCUAAGCAAUGGAGAGUGUUGUCUUGUAUCCAUCACCAGGGAUGGGUCACCUCAUCUCAAUGGUGGAGCUUGGAAAGCUUAUACUGAAACACCAUCCUUCAUUCUCCAUCACCAUAUUCAUUGUCACUCCACCUUACAACACUGGCUCUACUGCUCCUUAUCUCGCCCGCGUCUCCUCCACCAUUCCUUCCUUCACUUUCCACCACCUCCCCACCAUUUCUCUCCCUCUCGAUUCUUUUUCCUCUCCCAACCAUGAAACCCUUGCUUUCGAGCUCCUCCGCCUCAACAACCCUAACGUCCACCAGGCCCUUGUGUCCAUCUCCAACAAUUCCUCCGUCCGUGCCCUAAUCGUUGAUUCCUUCUGUACAACCGCGCUUUCUGUGGCUGCUCAACUCAACAUUCCAUGCUACUAUUUCUUCACUUCUGGCGCCUGCUGCCUCGCUUCCUACCUUUACCUCCCUUUCAUUCACCAGCAGACUACCAAAAGCUUUAAAGACCUCAACACCCAUCUGCAUAUUCCGGGUUUACCGCCGGUACCGGCCUCUGACAUGGCGAAACCGAUACUUGACAGAGAGGAUAAGGCUUAUGAGUUCUUCCUAAACAUGUUCAUACACUUGCCAAGAUCAGCUGGAAUCAUUGUGAACACCUUUGAAGC
This 8098-nucleotide long non-coding RNA is filed under the name Vitis vinifera (wine grape). RNAcentral describes it as "long non-coding RNA (VVIN_LNC005528)". Lineage: Eukaryota; Viridiplantae; Streptophyta; Magnoliopsida; Vitales; Vitaceae. The record is from RNAcentral.